GACGAACGCUGGCGGCGUGCCUAAUACAUGCAAGUAGAACGCACAGUUUAUACCGUAGCUUGCUACACCAUAGACUGUGAGUUGCGAACGGGUGAGUAACGCGUAGGUAACCUGCCUGGUAGCGGGGGAUAACUAUUGGAAACGAUAGCUAAUACCGCAUAAUAUUAAUUAUUGCAUGAUAACUAAUUGAAAGGUGCAAUUGCACCACUACCAGAUGGACCUGCGUUGUAUUAGCUAGUAGGUGAGGUAACGGCUCACCUAGGCGACGAUACAUAGCCGACCUGAGAGGGUGAUCGGCCACACUGGGACUGAGACACGGCCCAGACUCCUACGGGAGGCAGCAGUAGGGAAUCUUCGGCAAUGGACGAAAGUCUGACCGAGCAACGCCGCGUGAGUGAAGAAGGUUUUCGGAUCGUAAAGCUCUGUCGUAAGAGAAGAACGGGUGUGAGAGUGGAAAGUUCACACUGUGACGGUAUCUUACCAGAAAGGGACGGCUAACUACGUG
Molecule: ribosomal RNA, 505 nt
Filed under: uncultured bacterium
Lineage: Bacteria
Description: partial 16S ribosomal RNA
Rfam family: Bacterial small subunit ribosomal RNA
Source: RNAcentral